Molecule: ribosomal RNA, 242 nt
Filed under: uncultured Desulfobotulus sp.
Lineage: Bacteria; Pseudomonadati; Thermodesulfobacteriota; Desulfobacteria; Desulfobacterales; Desulfobacteraceae
Description: partial 16S ribosomal RNA
Rfam family: Bacterial small subunit ribosomal RNA
Source: RNAcentral
CUGAAGAUACUGCCCGGUAACCGGGAGGGAAGGUGGGGAUGACGUCAAGUCCUCAUGGCCCUUAUGCCCAGGGCUACACACGUGCUACAAUGGCAUAUACAAAGGGUCGCGAUACCGCGAGGUGGAGCCAAUCCCAUAAAGUAUGCCACAGUUCGGAUUGGAGUCUGCAACUCGACUCCAUGAAGUUGGAAUCGCUAGUAAUCGCAGAUCAGCAUGCUGCGGUGAAUACGUUCCCGGGCCUU